This 105-nucleotide ribosomal RNA is filed under the name Escherichia coli. Lineage: Bacteria; Pseudomonadati; Pseudomonadota; Gammaproteobacteria; Enterobacterales; Enterobacteriaceae. The record is from RNAcentral. RNAcentral also lists the same sequence under 1 other name.
UAGCGCGGUGGUCCCACCUGACCCCAUACCGAACUCAGAAGUGAAACGCCGUAGCGCCGAUGGUAGUGUGGGGUCUCCCCAUGCGAGAGUAGGGAACUGCCAGGC